CGAGUGAGACUAAGAAGUAACGAAAACUGCUAAUAUUCGCCCCCUCGGUUGAACCCCGAGGCUCGCUCGA
This 70-nucleotide transfer RNA is filed under the name Dunckerocampus dactyliophorus (ringed pipefish). RNAcentral's name for it is "tRNA-Ser". Lineage: Eukaryota; Metazoa; Chordata; Actinopteri; Syngnathiformes; Syngnathidae. The record is from RNAcentral.